This 390-nucleotide ribosomal RNA is filed under the name Triticum aestivum (bread wheat). RNAcentral describes it as "partial small subunit ribosomal RNA". Lineage: Eukaryota; Viridiplantae; Streptophyta; Magnoliopsida; Poales; Poaceae. The record is from RNAcentral.
ACAUUCACUUUAAAUAGGGCACCGUCUAAAUCCGUUGAGACGACACCGUAUGAAUUAUGGUUUGGGAAGAAACCUAAGCUGUCGUUUCUAAAAGUUUGGGGAUGCGAUGCUUAUGUCAAGAAACUUCAACCUGAAAAGCUCGAACCCAAGUCGGAAAAAUGCGUCUUCAUAGGAUACCCUAAGGAAACCAUUGGGUAUACCUUCUACCUUAGAUCUGAAGGCAAGAUCUUUGUUGCCAAGAACGGAUCCUUUCUGGAAAAAGAGUUUCUCUCGAAAGGAGUAAGUGGGAGGAAAGUAGAACUCGAUGAAGUACUACCUCUUGAACCGGAAAGUAGUGCAGCUCAGGAAAAUGUUCCUAUGGUGCCUACACCGAAUGGAGAGGAAAUUAAU